AGAGUUUGAUCCUGGCUCAGGAUGAACGCUGGCGGCGUGCUUAACACAUGCAAGUCGAACGAGUUAUCAUUUUUGAAGCGAUUAGCUUGCUAAGAGUGGAAAAGUUGAUAACUUAGUGGCGGACGGGUGAGUAACGCGUGGGUAACCUGCCUUACACAGGGGGAUAACACUUAGAAAUAGGUGCUAAUACCGCAUAAGCGCACAGUCCCGCAUGGGACAGAGUGAAAAACAUUAGUGGUGUAAGAUGGACCCGCGUCUGAUUAGCUGGUUGCGGGGUAACGGCCCACCAAGGCGACGAUCAGUAGCCGGCCUGAGAGGGUGGACGGCCACAUUGGGACUGAGACACGGCCCAAACUCCUACGGGAGGCAGCAGUGGGGGAUAUUGGACAAUGGGGGAAACCCUGAUCCAGCGACGCCGCGUGAGUGAAGAAGUAUUUCGGUACGUAAAGCUCUAUCAGCAGGGAAGAAAGAAAUGACGGUACCUGAGUAAGAAGCCCCGGCUAACUACGUG
Molecule: ribosomal RNA, 511 nt
Filed under: uncultured Eubacteriales bacterium
Lineage: Bacteria; Bacillati; Bacillota; Clostridia; Eubacteriales
Description: bacterial SSU rRNA
Rfam family: Bacterial small subunit ribosomal RNA
Source: RNAcentral